AAAAGAAAAGAAGAGAAAAAGAUUAGCAAGAUAUUUUGCAUAUCCUCGAGUCGCGCGUGCGAAUCCGGAAUGUGUUUUUAUCGCGAACAGAUUUUCGGGGACAGAAAUUCCGCGCACAGGGAAUCGCAGCAGUUAUCGCGGCGAUAACGCUCGAUGAUGAUGUGCCGUGCUCGAUAAGCGAUAUGCGGAUUCCAACGGCUACCUACCGAUUUUUUUUUUAAUUCCUUUGUUUACUACCGAUCGAGCGAGCGGGAUUAUUAUCGGGAGGCGAGUCGAAUUAAUCGGUUGUGCCGUUCAGUCAGUUUUUAAACCGUGCGAAAACUAGCUGCCUGUGUAUAAUCGUAUCAGAGGGGGGGAAUGAAGCGCGAAGGAUCCGCAGUGGGAAUUUAUUAAUCGGUCCCCCCCCCCCCCGUUAACGAGAUCGCGUUCGAUCAACGGGUCAACGAACUUGGAUCCCACGCACAUUUGCCACGAUUUCGUUUAUUUUAUUUAUUGAAGUAGCAGUUUCCCUCCUCCUCCCCGCGUCAUGGUGUGUUCCGCGAGUGUGUAAAUCAUUGGUUGUGAAAUAUCGAAUUCCGCGUGAUUUACUACAGGUUUUCGAGAUCGCGGCUGUUAUCGUGCAAUCGAAAUCUACCGUGUGCGAGCCAGUUCCUUCCAGACCGUUCGUAAUUUCGUUUGUUACCCGACGAUUUUAUUCCAGAUUCGGCGUGCAACGGUGUAAUAUUGUACAAUUUGAUCAUUGUGCGGAUUAUUCUUUUUUAAAAUAUCGUUACGUAACACCAUUCGACACUAUCCCCGUUCAUUCUCGAGAUGGAAAAUUUUCUUCGAUGAGAUUUCUCGAUUGGAAGAGAGAGAGAGAUUGAAUAUUUCGUUAUCGAGAUAAUUCUCGAUGGAGGGAAGGAAAUUUGAUAUUUGAGGUGUUCGUUAAAAAAGAAAAAGAAAAACAUUCCGAUCCAUCGACGACCAAUCGCUAGAGUUUCCAUUUACUAGUUUCUAAUCUAAUGAACUUUGCGCCACCUUGAGCAACCUUAUCGGUGCAUUCACGAACGUGGCAACGCAUGUUACGUGGUGCAUCGAUUUAACUUGGCGCAAAUUUUAAGGCCAGCCUUAAAAAACCGCGGGAAUGCUCCUCGCGUUUGAUACCGAGUUUCGCGUGGAUUCCCCUCCUUCCUCCUUCCUUCUUCCCUCUUCCCCGCUCGAUUUAUACCUCGCUGUCUAUUUUUAACCGACUCGUCGUCGCUUAUCGCUUUUUUCGAUCAACGAUUCCUUCUUCGCGGAGCGGAAAGAGAAAAGAUAACGACUUUUCCUUAUUUUUCUUUUUUUUCUUUUUUUUUCUUUUCCACACCGAUCGUCGUUUCAUAUAGUUGUAGAGAAGGAGCGAGAGAAAAAAAAAUUAUUGGCACUUCAAGUCGUACACGCUUUCAUGCUCUAGUGGGGCGUUAAUCGUUCUUAAGUGUUGCCAUUUUUACGGUGAUAUAUCGACGCGCAAACAUAAUAUUACUCGUGACGUCCCUCGUAAAUCGACGAUGAUAACAUUGUAAUACGCCAUUACCUUUACGAUAGGCGUUAAUUGCCGGUGACGAAAACCGAUCGCACGCGUGUACUAACCAUUGUUCCACCAUUGGUUGAAAAUUUCCUUUCCUCUCAAGGACUCUAAAAAAAAAAGACUGGCCGAUAAUUCUAAUUUCUUAAUCCAAAUCGGAUCGAUCGAUUCGCGCAAGGAAUUUGUUAACGCGAUUUAUUAAAUCGAAAUUAUUAAAUCGAAUUGUUAACACGAUUUAUUAAAUCGAAUUGGGAUUCGUUCGAUCUUACGAUUAUAAACAAUUCGUAGAUUUUUUUUUUUGGAUGGAAUUGGAAAUUUUUUUUUUUUAUCCGAACGAAAAGAACUCGCGAAAUUUUUCCGUCUCGGGACGGAUUCGGUCUGAUAAGUUCGAUACGGUUAAUUUAUGUGAGUAUACGAUGAUAAGGAAGAGAAGGCUGAUAAGAAAAAAUACGCUGAUAGGUGGAAAAGUUAAAUGCGUUUCUAACUGCAACGACCGUGGCCCAGUAUGACUGGAGAAAAUUCAACAAUAAUAGGGAAAGGAAAGGAAAAAUAAGUGCAACUUUUUCUCAUAUGUGUAUAUGUGUGUGUGCGUGUAAAUGAAAGAUAGGAUGAAAGAAAGUAUGUAUUUCGUUAAUUAAUUAUGGAUUUAUCGAUACGGAAAUAGGGUCAGCGAUAAUUAACGCAAUUAAUACGACACGAUUCGCUAACGGGACUCAUUGAUCCGUUAUUAAAAACUGUGAUUUAGCUUGAUUAUAAAAUCGAACAACGGACUAAUAAUCUAAACUACUACUUGAUAAAAAUAUUCUUAUCUUCGAUCGACUAUAUUUAAUGGAACUUCGAACGAAAUAAUGCGUAUAUUUCAUCGAGAUUAUCGUUUGGAAAUCGAUAUAAAAUCAAUCAUCCUGUAAAAAUUUAUUAAAAAUUAAUUUCACUCUGGACUAAUGAUAUAACUCUACAGUGAUAUCUUGUCGAUCUUUAAUUAUCGAUAAUUAAAAAAAAAAACAAAAUCACUGAAAUCACUCAAACGCGUGCACGAGAAUCUCUUUCGUACGCACAUCUUCCGUACCAUUUCGAUCGAUAUCGAAGCCAUUCGGUUUCACCGAUCGAUGAUUUCAGCGUUUAAAUUUCUACUUGCCGUUUGUCGGACGUGAUUCAAGGGCGAGCAAGCCCGAGAAAGAGAGCGACGAGUAAACUGGUGGAAGGGGGAGGGGGUGGGAGGAGGAGGAGGAGGAGGAGGGAGGGGAGCCACGGUUGUCCCCGGAACAGGCCAUUUGCCACGAAAGUUCGUACAUUGUUCGCCGACGAUUUACUCGAUCGACAACCGGCGGCAACGGAACAAUAAAACGCCGUCCGUGAUGGAACGAUCUUUCACCUGGCAACAACAACAACAACAACAACAACAACAAUUGGACGAUCGACUAGCAGCCAUAACACCGUUCCUAUUGAUCGCGUCACCGAUGUGACAGGUCAGCCAUCAGGAGAAAUUUGGAAAAAUAAAUCGGCGAAAACCGUUUAAUUGUCCGCUCGUUCCAUUCAUCCGCGGCAUUGCAAUUGGUCCAUUUCCCGAUUCACUUCGUGGAACGACUCGAUGUAGCCAAGGCCGAUUUCGGCUGGCCGAUGAAUCCUUUCGCCCUCGGACGGCGAACAAUCCUUUCGGCGAGCGGACGAACGCUCCCUUUGGCGAGAAGGAGAUCGUGCACGAGCGUGUGCGCGAGGAUACCAGAUUGGCGCGAUGACAACGUUGAAGAAGGACGAGAAGAGGGGCUCGAAGAAGUCGAAGAAGAGCGGCGGAGACGAGAAGACGUCCGGUCGAGGCGCGAAGACGGCGAAGCAGGUACCCGCGAAGAAAAGUGAACCGAAAGUGCAAGCAGAGAAAUGGUACGAGGAUCUAUCGAUCUACGACAAUGAUCUCUACAGCGAAGACGUGAAUCUGUCGAAGGAGGAAAAGGGGGGCGGGAGAGCGGAGCGAAAAUCGUUCCGUCGAAAAAUCGGGUUGCUAUUGAGAGGGAGCGCUGCUGAAUUACCGGCCGUGAUAAAUCGCAGCCUGCAACCGAUCAGGCGCAGCCUGAGUUUCAGCAAGGACUUGAACCGCGUCCAGGAACCGUCGAAACCUCACAGGGCGACCAGCGCGCAUUGGUACAACAGUUUGGUGUCCCUGGCGGAGGAUGAAUGUUUGGACGAGUAUGACGACAGCCCGUCAGGAAACAACAGUCCAACGAUCGAGGAACGAUUGUUCUCUUCGAAGGUUCAAGUCACCAGGACGCAAAGUCUCAUCGACACCACUUUCACGAGAAGCCCGAGAAGACGAGUGACCGACCUGCUCAAGCGAACUGCACCUUAUGGACGGCACAGCGACCACUACGACUCGACCAUAGAUUUGAGUAAUCCACCGUUCGAGGCCAGCAGCCUUCCCGCUCUCUCGCACGCGGAUGGAAGCUGCAACGAGCUAAGAUUCCCCCGUGAAGGGGAGCAACAGGUCAGCAACGAAUGGAGGAACCUGAAAGUUCCUGUCGGUCGAAAUCUGUCUUCCCUACAUGUCGGCCCCGUGCACCAUCCAGAGGUGCGUUCGAGGUCGUUGACCCAGCUGGACGCUCUGGGCAGCAAAAUGCUGGACACGGGGGAGCACCAUCUGGGGGGUGGUCCCUCGCAACAGCAAUCCCAUCACCUUCACCACCAUUAUCAACCUCAACAGUUGCAACACCCGCAAAAUGUGGAGAGUAAUCCUCGUUUCCUUGCGCCCACCGCGGCUUCCGCCGAGGGAUCGCGUCAGAAUCGCAGGCACAAACUGUCUCGGUCGCAGGUAUCCAGCAGCGAGUUUUUCAGCGUCAGCUUCGAUCUCUCGGACGAUUCGAGCGGCCUGGACCGGGACGAGUUUCUGCCUGCUGCGAAGGGCACUUACUUGGCCGAGGCGAUCAACGCCGCUUGCGAGAGGCGCGGGAUCGACAUCUCGCGGAUCGAGGUCUUCGAUGGUUUCUCGCCGCCAUUACCGAUCCUCACCACGGACACAUCCAGCCUUGGCGGCAAGCAUUUAAGAAUAACAGUUAAGGACAACGAAAAAUCGAACUCGAGAUCGUCGAGCCAGAGAAGCAACCAGAGCGCCUCCUUGAGAAAGCCGAGCGGGAAUUAUCGGAACCGCAGCGGUCGUUUCUUCAGCGUCUCGACGGAAGACUCGAGCGUCGACUCCGAGGUCGGGAGCAGCACCACGCUCACAUCUGGUCGGAGCUCCGUUGGGGCUGCGGGGCUCAAACCUAGUAAACAGCGGUGGAGCGGCUUCUUCACCAACACGAAGGGCACAAAAAUCGAUCUGCUCACCUCUUUGCUGGACGAUUACAACAAACACGGGGUACCCAAGGAUACACAAUUGUCGUACGAGCUCGCCUUUAACGAGGAUGCCUUGUACUUAGAACAAGAUUGGCGCGACAUCGUUCAAAACUCGGAUCAAUUAUCGGAGAAGCAACAGCAACAACAGACUGCUUUAUGGGAACUGGCUCAAACGGAAGUGGCUUAUAUCAAGACUUUAAAGGUUGUGACAGACCUGUUUAUGGCGUGCCUGUGCAGCCUGCAGGCCUCGAAUAUCCUGAACGAGGUCGACAGGACGAAGCUAUUCAGUAACAUCCCCGAGAUCUACGCCGCGAAUCGCUACUUCUGGACCGAGUACGUCCUGGCCAUGAUAAAUACGUCGAGGACCACUGGGCAACCGCUCGAGCCAGGCCACCUUCUGCAAGGUUUCGAGACGUUCGAGCAAACCUUCGCACCCUACACCAGAUAUUGCGCGGAGCAAAGCAAAUGUCAGCAAUACUGCAGAGACCGUCUCAACGAUAAUCAAUUAUUUACGGUCUAUCUGGUGUGGUGCGAGACUCAGAAGGAUUGCAAUCGAUUGAAACUGCUCGACAUACUGGUGAAACCUAUGCAGAGGUUGACGAAGUACUCUCUGCUCUUGAAGGCUGUUCACAAGAACACGGAGAACGAGGAGCAACGAGCAGAAUUGACUCACAUGAUCAAAUCUGUGGACGACUUCGUGGCGUCUGUGAAUGCAGCGUUGAAGAGGAACGAGGAGACAGCGCGGUUGGCCAGCGCCGCAUCUCGAAUAGAAAGUUACGACGUGGUCGAGUCGAGGGACGAAGAAUUGGAGAAACUGAUUAAAAUUCACAGCACGUUUGACAUUACCACGGUUCCGAUACCGGGUUGCCCGAAAGACACCCUUAGAGUGCUUCUUCGCGAGGGAGAUUUAAAAUUAAGAGAUGCCGUUAGCAGCAAGAUGGAAGUACACAUACUGUUGCUGACAGACAUGCUAUUGAUCUGCAAACCGUCGACCAAGAAAACUUCGUCCAGUGGGCUGACUGGCACCGUUGGGGGCGGUUUGAAGAUUAUAAGACAACCGUACGUAAUCGAUCGUAUCCGAAUACACGAGCUGAAGGAGCCAACCAGUUUAGGCUUGGUUUAUCUGAACGAGUAUGGGGCGGCAUCAGCUGCUCUGGUUCUCAGCGCCGGAGAAUCGAAAUUGGCCAAGUCUUGGAUGGAAUCGAUCAGGAAAGCUCAACAACAAUUCGCGUUAAUGAAAGUGCCACCGCUUGGCAACACGAUGAACUUGACCACUGUCAACAGACAACACAGCAGUUUCCUGGGUGAUGAGUACGAGGCAGAGGAAUGCGAGGGUAUCCCAAAGACGCCUCGAGGGAGUAGCCGGGCGUCGAGGGUGAGCAGCCUCGCCCACAGUCACAGCCAUGAAACCGCUUCCAGUGGGAGUAUAGAGAUGGAAGGCGUUUCGCCUGGAAGCAGCACCUUCCUCCCUAGUUACAAUCCAAGCAGAAAUAUCAGCGUGGAAACGAGCGAACCACCUCGAGCCUCGAGCGUAUCGUCGGAAGAAGGUGGCGACAGUUCCGGUCACAAUCAUAGACCGUUGCAAAUAAGUCCUAACAAAUUUGAUAAUAGACGAUACCCGCUGAGUAAGUCACCGACGCCUAACACGUUGAGUGUCCAAGUGCCGGCGUACUCUAGCUUGGGCCAAUCGCUGCCAAACUUGACCCUAGCCACUUCGCCACAAACUUCAACCGUGUCUCCGACACCGCCAAACUCGCUUCUAAUCGUACCCCAAAUAACAAAAAGCAAGGACACUUUGCUUUCACCAGGGCACCGAGGUAGUAUCUCCUAUCCACCACCGUCACCCCCGAGAGGGGCGCUUAGAAGAGCGUUCGCGAUUCCUCAAUCACGAAAUCCACCUCUCGUUAAAACGAGACACAUAAGCACGUCUGUGACACAAACGGUUCAACCUGCGAUGAAUCUAGACGCGGAUGCCAUUGAAGAGAGGCGAAGAAGGUUGGAACCUUCGCACAGGAUGCCAUCGACCAGCAGCAUCGCGGAGGAAAAGAAAUGACUAGAAUUGGGAUACAAAAGUAACCUAUUAAGAAGAUAAGAUUGAUUGCUAUGGAUCAUCUUACAUUUGAUGAGGGAGUACACAGUUGGAUGAUACGUCAUGUUUAGAAAUAAAAUGCUUGCUUUCUGUUGUCUGUAUGCAAGUGCUGCACACACUUUCAUGCAGGAGCAGAAAGAUGAUUCGAAACGAUCGAGAAGGGAUUCAAAUUGAAUUAAAAAAAAAAAAAAAAAAAAAAAAGUUUGCGUACUCCUUAUGCCUACAAUAUGAAUCGAGCAAUUUUACAAUCGAUUGGGGCCAUUCGAAAUCAACGUGAAGUUUGUUAUUACGAUCGUAUCAUUGUAAUUUGAUUCUAGCGGUGUAACUUUUAGAUCUCAUUUUGUAAUUAAUUCGUCGGGUUGUGACGAUCACGUUUCAAUAUUACUCUAAUUCAUUCAGAAUCCUAAGCGACGAAAACAGAAAAAAGAAAAAGGCCUACCUAGUGUAAUUAAUAUUAACGACUAUUUAUCGUGAUUUAAGUUUAGAUGAUUAUAAUAGUUGGAAAUAAGACGCCUUUAGAGCAACAAUUUUAAAAUAAACGAGUUCGAGUUUCGUGAUUUAACGAUAAUAAAAGCAGGUACGGAUAUUUAGAAAUGAGAACACACACAUACACACAUACACACACACGCGUAGAAAAGUAUUACAUUUCAUGUAGAAGAAGAAGAAGAAGAAAAAAGAAAAAAAAAAAAAGAAACCAAAAGAAAAUGAAAAAUUACGUUAUAUCCCUCGUAUAAGCUUUGAUAAACACACUAAAUGUGGAAAGUUCUCGAAAAGCGAGUGAAAAGAGAGUGAAAGAUAAAUUUUCUUUAGGUACAAAUUAAAUUUCACGAUAUUUUGUUCAAGAGACUGAACUAACGAUUGUCGGAAUGUCGACGAACGUCAACCUAACUAGAGACAACAAUAUGUAAAGAGAAAAGAAGAGCAAUGAUUUUAUACGAGCUCCUUUGCGUAAGGUUUCUUUCAAUCCCCCCCUCCCCCCCUUCCAAAAUUUGCGCUUGUAUUAAGCUUCAAGUGUUAAAAUUAUCAUAAAAAAAAAAAAAAAAAAGAAAUUAUCGAUUGUGCGUGUAUGUACGAUCAUUCAUAAUCAAGGUCAAAAUAUAGUACAUAAUUUAUUAA
This is an RNA transcript of Apis mellifera (honey bee), 8069 nucleotides long. It is a transcript of the gene named pleckstrin homology domain-containing family G member 5, with no coding region annotated. The transcript has 21 exons. The record is from RefSeq and is a predicted model, not a curated record. NCBI's taxonomy places the organism in Eukaryota, Metazoa, Arthropoda, Insecta, Hymenoptera, Apidae.